GACGAACGCUGGCGGCGUGCUUAACACAUGCAAGUCGAACAGAAAGGCCCUGCUUUUGUGGGGUGCUCGAGUGGCGAACGGGUGAGUAACACGUGAGUAACCUGCCCUUGACUUUGGGAUAACUUCAGGAAACUGGGGCUAAUACCGGAUAGGAGCUCCUGCUGCAUGGUGGGGGUUGGAAAGUUUCGGCGGUUGGGGAUGGACUCGCGGCUUAUCAGCUUGUUGGUGGGGUAGUGGCUUACCAAGGCUUUGACGGGUAGCCGGCCUGAGAGGGUGACCGGCCACAUUGGGACUGAGAUACGGCCCAGACUCCUACGGGAGGCAGCAGUGGGGAAUAUUGCACAAUGGGCGGAAGCCUGAUGCAGCAACGCCGCGUGCGGGAUGACGGCCUUCGGGUUGUAAACCGCUUUCGCCUGUGACGAAGCGUGGGUGACGGUAAUGGGUAAAGAAGCACCGGCUAACUACGUG
RNAcentral lists this ribosomal RNA (468 nucleotides) under uncultured bacterium. Its description in RNAcentral is "partial 16S ribosomal RNA". It matches the Rfam family "Bacterial small subunit ribosomal RNA", at positions 28 to 507 of the family's 1533-position model. The record is from RNAcentral.